GGGUGGAAGAUUAUAUUGAAUAGUAAUAGACUCAGCAUUUGGCAUGUUGGUGGUCUCAAGCAGACAAGAAUUACUUUAGACUGGAGUUUUCUACAAGAUCCAAAAAUUAGAGAACUUAAACUCUGCCUUUUGAUUUUAAUCUAUGUGAAGUUGUUGCUUUAUGGAAGCAGGUAAAGCCUUAGUCUCAUUGUGACUAGUCGAAAAUCUAACAUUUCUUUGUUAUUAUAUUCAUCUUGAUACUUUUGAUAUCUUGUUUGAUUAAUAUACGAGAAUUUUAACUACUCUUCUGAGUCUAGACAUUAUUAAUGGGAGCUUCCUUUCAUUAGUUUUUCUUUUUUUAAUUAUAAAAG
This 350-nucleotide long non-coding RNA is filed under the name Vigna radiata. RNAcentral's name for it is "long non-coding RNA (VRAD_LNC004806)". The record is from RNAcentral. Lineage: Eukaryota; Viridiplantae; Streptophyta; Magnoliopsida; Fabales; Fabaceae.